This 253-nucleotide ribosomal RNA is filed under the name uncultured bacterium. Its description in RNAcentral is "partial 16S ribosomal RNA". It matches the Rfam family "Bacterial small subunit ribosomal RNA", at positions 524 to 776 of the family's 1533-position model. The record is from RNAcentral.
UACAGAGGGUGCAAACGUUGCUCGGAAUUAUUGGGCGUAAAGCGCGUGUAGGCGGCCUGUUAAGUCAGUUGUGAAAGCCCAUGGCUCAACCAUGGAAGUGCGACCGAAACUGGCAGGCUGGAGUCCUGAAGAGGGUGGCGGAAUUCCCAGUGUAGAGGUGAAAUUCGUAGAUAUUGGGAGGAACACCGGUGGCGAAGGCGGCCACCUGGGCAGGUACUGACGCUGAGACGCGAAAGCGUGGGGAGCAAACAGG